Aethina tumida (small hive beetle) is the source of this 371-nucleotide long non-coding RNA. RefSeq lists it as uncharacterized. The record is from RefSeq and is a predicted model, not a curated record. NCBI's taxonomy places the organism in Eukaryota, Metazoa, Arthropoda, Insecta, Coleoptera, Nitidulidae. The transcript is spliced from 2 exons.
CAAUAACAAAACACUCUUGUACAACGUUCUGCACUUUAGCACUGUUUUAGUUCGGACUUUCCUUUAUCCGCAUCUUUAUUGGUCAAUAAAUUCCGAUUACUUCGAUUAAAUGAUACAUUGACAUAUCAAGUGACAGCAACAGACGUUUAAGAGUUCUUACAUAAAUAAUGAGGAUUAUAAAUUGCUUCUACAACUUCUUGGGUUGCCUCACCGGUACCUACGUUUAUACGUUCUGUAUCAUUGCCGGAAUGUGCAUUGGCGCUUUGAUAUUCUACUUUUACAAAAACUCGAGUUUAAACCUCUUACCUGGUAUAAAUUAGUGCUCUGCAAUGUUAUUUUGUAAUUAAUAAAGUAAGUAAUUCGUUCUCGUA